AUGAUGACAGAAUUUUCAUUUUUGGGUGAACUACUCUUUUAAGAAAUGUCAAAAAGUCCCUGCUAAUAUUUUGUUUUGUUUUAUUUUCAGCUGGGGAGCCUGAUGAAGAGUUAGCUGAGGAGUACCCAGUAAAAAAAAAAGGAUCUAAUGUGAUUUUGCCUGGGGCACCUUGCUGUGAGUAAAAUCUCAAUGGAAUUAAGGGAAUAUGCAAGGUUAAAGUCAGUCUACCAUAUUUGUGUUAUAAUGUUGAUUACUACAA
This is a long non-coding RNA of Cyprinus carpio carpio, 259 nucleotides long. The record is from Ensembl. Lineage: Eukaryota; Metazoa; Chordata; Actinopteri; Cypriniformes; Cyprinidae.